UAAACGGCCCUUUUCAGGGCCAUCACUCGUUCAACCUCGACGCUU
Molecule: non-coding RNA, 45 nt
Organism: Acyrthosiphon pisum (pea aphid)
Lineage: Eukaryota; Metazoa; Arthropoda; Insecta; Hemiptera; Aphididae
Source: Rfam